GCGGGGUGGGGUGAAUGGAUGGUCAGUUCAAAUUCAUAUUUUCUUGAAACUCAUGAUUUAAUUUAUUGGUUAGUGUGCAUGGCCUGCUACAGACAUAGUACGUACAUACUGAAACGGUGUGGAUGGUUUUGUACUCUGUGGAAAAGCAGCAACUUCUUUUGUAAAUCAACCCAAUUCGAUAAUCGAGACGUUGCGUACAAGAAGCAAUUACUAAGAAAAAAUGGCCUUUUUUUGCUUUAUCAUGUAUCAUAUUGCACAUAAUCAAAUUGAGACAGUCAAAAUGAAUAAUAAUUCAGGAAAUGGCAUCUUGCUUUAUGAUGAAUAAUAUUGUUGGACAUGUGGUAAGUGCAUACCAUUAUUCAAAACUAUGUUAACCCAGACACGAAAUAUAAAAAGUUGUACUAUUUACAGAAAAUAGAGAUGAGCAUUGUGUAUACAUUUUGAGUAUUUCACAGUCAGAUAAAUUUAUAUGUCAAAUACGAAUUGUGUAGGAAUAAUAUAUGGAAGAAAGUUCUGCGAUGUUAUAAAAUGCCUUUCCUUUUUAUUUAUUUCUUGCUAGUUUUCAAUAUUACCCAAAC
This 578-nucleotide long non-coding RNA is filed under the name Setaria viridis. RNAcentral describes it as "long non-coding RNA (SVIR_LNC007963)". The record is from RNAcentral. Lineage: Eukaryota; Viridiplantae; Streptophyta; Magnoliopsida; Poales; Poaceae.